This is a long non-coding RNA of Helicoverpa armigera (cotton bollworm), 1632 nucleotides long. RefSeq lists it as uncharacterized. The transcript is spliced from 2 exons. NCBI's taxonomy places the organism in Eukaryota, Metazoa, Arthropoda, Insecta, Lepidoptera, Noctuidae. The record is from RefSeq and is a predicted model, not a curated record.
UCUGGUUAAAUAAAAUAAUCUUCAAUCAUUUUCCAAAUCUGAUGAUACAGCAAGACCAGCCCUAUUUGUAUAUAAACACGAAUGCGCGUACGCAGCGAUCCAUCAUUAGGAGGCACGGCUACAUUGAUUUAUUACGAAAUGCCGCUAUGUUCCCAUAGUAGCCGAGUUAUAGCAAAUUAAUUACAUACUGCUUCAUCAUUUUGAGUAGCACUUGCCAAAAUGUUGCGAAACAAAAAUAUACUUAGAGUGAGUUGCACCAACUUACUUUAACGAUAACAAAACUCGAACCAACGGUCAAAUCUCUGGUUAAGUCAAUAAUGGAUUGCACCAUUUUAACAAUGGUUAAAAUGACGUCAUAUUUAACGAUAACCGUAACCAGUCAAUUUUGGCCGGUUAUCGUUAUUGCUAAGUUAACAAAUGUCAAAAUCUUGUCAAAAUAAUAACCUAGUCCGUUGUUUUCUGUUGUUUUAUCAUAUUUAAGUAUAAAAAAAUUAAAAAUGUCUUUAGUACGUGAUAUUUUAUGGGAAUCUAGUUCUUCUGACGACGAAAAUUAUAAUGAUUUACCUAAUUCUCGAAAGAAAAAAGUGUAUCAACCACGUGUUAAUCGAUUCCUAAAAUGGAAUGAGCAGGAGUUCUUGGAUAGAUUUCGGAUUUCCAAAGGUUUAGCACGAGCCCUGGCUUCUCAUUUAGCACCAUUGCUCCAAACCAGAACCAUGAAAAACUUUGCAGUUACUCCAGAGCAGCAAAUAAUAAUGGCAUUGGAAUUUUACGCAUGUGGUUCUUUUCAACGCUGCAUUGGGGAUGCUGCAGGUGUUCACAAAUCUACUGUUUGUCGAAUAAUUCAUCGAGUGAGCAGAGCUAUAGCCGGACUAAGAACAGACUGGAUUGCAAUGCCUAAAAAUAUUGAGGAAAUGGAAACUGAGGCCAAAAAAUUUUAUGAAAUAUGUGCAUUUCCUAAAGUAAUAGGAACUAUAGACUGCACACAUAUACCAAUCAAAUCGCCAGGUGGUGCAGAUGCAGAAACAUAUAGAAAUAGAAAACAGGUAUUUUCUCUUAAUGUGCAAGUAAUCACAAAUGCUGAGAUGUACAUUACAAAUAUAGUUGCUAGAUGGCCUGGAAGCUGUCACGACAGCCAUAUUUUCAACAGCAGUGUCAUUAAGGGACGCCUAGAAGAUGGAGAAUUUGAUGGUUUUUGGUUACUAGGAGACAAAGGUUAUGCCAAUAAACCAUAUUUGCUAACACCUCUACGUAAUCCUGUUACAGAAGCUGAAAAACUGUACAAUGAAAGUCAUAUUCGUACUAGAAAUAUUGUAGAACGCAGUUUUGGUUGUUGGAAAAAAAGGUUUCCUGCAGUGUCAUGGAAACUCAGAACAAAUACAGCAAGAGCCCAAUGUGCUAUAGUGGCAAUGGCUGUCCUAUAUAAUAUUUGCAAGAAAUUGAGAGACCCGAUGCCAACAUGUUACGACUCUGAUAAUGAAUCAUCAGAUUCUGAUGACAAUGACCUGACCUCUGCAUAUGUUAGCCAGCAUGACGAGCAUAAUAGGAAUAUGCUAAUAAAUACUUAUUUUGAUAGAUUACAUUAAGAUAGACUAUGUUUUAAAUGAAUAAAUAAAAAAACUUCAAAAAUAAAAA